GAUGAACGCUGGCGGCGUGCCUAAUACAUGCAAGUCGAGCGAACAGACGAGAAGCUUGCUCCUCUGAUGUUAGCGGCGGACGGGUGAGUAACACGUGGAUAACCUACCUAUAAGACUGGGAUAACUUCGGGAAACCGGAGCUAAUACCGGAUAAUAUUUUGAACCGCAUGGUUCAAUAGUGAAAGACGGUCUUGCUGUCACUUAUAGAUGGAUCCGCGCUGCAUUAGCUAGUUGGUAAGGUAACGGCUUACCAAGGCAACGAUGCAUAGCCGACCUGAGAGGGUGAUCGGCCACACUGGAACUGAGACACGGUCCAGACUCCUACGGGAGGCAGCAGUAGGGAAUCUUCCGCAAUGGGCGAAAGCCUGACGGAGCAACGCCGCGUGAGUGAUGAAGGUCUUCGGAUCGUAAAACUCUGUUAUUAGGGAAGAACAAAUGUGUAAGUAACUAUGCACGUCUUGACGGUACCUAAUCAGAAAGCCACGGCUAACUACGUG
This 497-nucleotide ribosomal RNA is filed under the name uncultured bacterium. Its description in RNAcentral is "partial 16S ribosomal RNA". It matches the Rfam family "Bacterial small subunit ribosomal RNA", at positions 28 to 507 of the family's 1533-position model. The record is from RNAcentral.